UUAUAUACAAGUUAGAUGAUUGGGCAGCAAGACUACAAUUGAAAAAGGAAAUUAUAAACAAAGGGGCCGGGCUUUGGCUUUACAGCCGAGAGAGAGGAGAAUGGUAUAAAUAAAUUCUCGCCACGGCAACGGAGGAUAGCGGCUUCGCUGUGGCUGGGAUCGACCCAACGGCCGACGUCCUGGACUGUCUUCCUGAUUCAUGGCGGAGACCGCGGCUCCCCCUCCUUCCAUCCAAUAAGACAGGGAGAAAGCAUUUGAAGGCUGUAGGGGAAAAGCACAUUAUUUGAGUUAGAACAGCAAAGCAGGCUUUCAUGGAGGAUUGAUGUAGGUGGAGACUCCGUGACAUGAUUAAGAUGGUUAUUUUUUGAAUGCGAGGGUCCCCAUAGAAGUACCAAUAAUGGUGCUAAAGGUCCACAAGAGGUGAGUGCUGCAUUAAUCUUCAUUUUUAAUGCAUUAUCUAAGUGGAAUGUCUUGUUGGUGUGUUGUAAUGGGAGUUGCAGGCCCAGUUGUUAGUGGAGGAUGUUUCUAGAGAACUGCUUUUAGAACCCUUGUACUUUGCAAGUAUAGUUUCAAUUCAAUUGGACUUUGGACAGGAAAAUGGAAGCUCAGUUCCCGUAAAAGGCCCAGCUUUCAUUUGUUGCUUUCUGCUGAAUGUUGAUGCAAGCUUUUAAUGCUGAUAUCUGUGAGUGGUAGAAUUCCUUUGUAAUUGGAUUGGUGAGUCAGUCUGAUCUUGAGAGGGAGAGGCAUGGCUCUUCCUCCACAUUUUUCUUUCCCACACAUGUGCAGGUAAUGCCGACAUGUGUUAUGUUAUUACAUCACAGGUAUAGAAUCUUGUGUGGUUGCAAGUGCAAUCAUCUCCGUUCAAUCAUGGUCAGGCUCAGUGUCCCACCAUGUGAAGGAACUCAGAUGCCUGUUCGUCAUGAUGUUGGAAUGGGCCAACCGAUCCUCGGCUUUUGAUGGAUAUGCAAAUGGAAGAAGAUAUGCCCACUUCCACCAAAGGAGAUCGCAAUGAUGAUGGUUUAUGCUGCAUUCUAGUGGGGAAACUGAUGUUAUGCCAAGGAGAUGCCCCUUAGCUUUCAGAUGAAGCUCUCUUCGUCUGAAGUCAGAUUGAAAGUUGAAGAGAAGAAAGAAGGGUGAGGGUGGGAGAGCCAGGAAUCCGGUAUAGUCUUUCUUGGUUGCUUCUGGAGAAAAGCUUUUUGUGCGGGCCACUGUUACAUGGAAGAAUAUGGAAGAGGGGGUUUUAGACUUGUUUAGACUACUUUGCAGGUGGCAUGAGAGCAAACCACAGUCCUCAGCUCGUGGGUCCUGUCCUCAAAAGGAAUAUCACCCCUUAUCAGAUCAAAUAUGCCUGUGACUGGGGUCCUUUGCCUGCUUGUGAGCAGACUAAAGAAAAGAUCAAAUAGGUCAGGAUUGUGGGCGAGGGGAUGAAUGUACCUUCUUAUAAUAAGUGUCACAUAUUUGGGUCUGAUGAGAUUGUGCACAGCAUUGAUUGAUAUUGGAUCCAAGGUUUGUAAACUCCAGAUUUUUCCCCCCUAUCUUGGUAGAUAACUAAAACCAUGUUGAACCAGGAUCUGUAAUUGAGUCGAACGCUGAACAAUUUCUAAAGCAAUUUAGAUA
Molecule: long non-coding RNA, 1617 nt
Organism: Phoenix dactylifera (date palm)
Lineage: Eukaryota; Viridiplantae; Streptophyta; Magnoliopsida; Arecales; Arecaceae
Source: RefSeq, a predicted model, not a curated record